This 75-nucleotide transfer RNA is filed under the name Succinivibrionaceae bacterium. RNAcentral describes it as "tRNA-Arg". It matches the Rfam family "tRNA". Rfam says of the family: Transfer RNA (tRNA) molecules are approximately 80 nucleotides in length. Their secondary structure includes four short double-helical elements and three loops (D, anti-codon, and T loops). The record is from RNAcentral. RNAcentral also lists the same sequence under 1 other name. Lineage: Bacteria; Pseudomonadati; Pseudomonadota; Gammaproteobacteria; Aeromonadales; Succinivibrionaceae.
GACCUCAUAGUUAAAUGGAUAUAACAAGCCCCUCCUAAGGGCUAGUUGUAGGUUCGAUUCCUACUGGGGUCGCCA